CUGGCUAAUGCCACGGAAACAAGCCCUCCGUACUAAUCUAGCACAAUCCAUGCAUGCUUCCACAUAUUUUGGCAGGGGAAAGUAGGAGUCCACUGACAAUGGCUUGGGAUAUUGCUAGCCACCGCUCCUGAAUUCAUACAUUUUUUAUCUCUGGCUGGUGACUUCUUUCCACCUCAAUGGCUGCUGCAGGUGUUUGGACCAAGCACAGGGAUAAGCCCUCUCGCAUAUGCAGUUGGAUGGGAGGCUGCCUCCAAGGCAUGUGGAAACGGCAAAGCAGCGAUUCUCAGACAUCACAGGCUGCACAGCCAAAUGGGCACGGGGCAGUACACAGGUUAUUAAUCCCUGGCCUUUAAUAACAGCAGUGUUUCUCCUUUCACCAAGACAGCUUUUUAAGCAAGAGAGCCUCUUUAAUUUCUUGAAUAGCUUCCUUCGCUUUCAUUCUUAUAGAAGAAUCACAACUUCCUGGAAAAGAUGCUUUAAACAUUAAAAUACUGCACUACCAGGGCCUAGCAUACUUCGGAUUAAUAAAACUUGUAUCUUAAAAUAGAUGCA
This 552-nucleotide long non-coding RNA is filed under the name Anas platyrhynchos platyrhynchos (common mallard). Its description in RNAcentral is "lncRNA (ENSAPLG00000019983.1)". The record is from RNAcentral. Lineage: Eukaryota; Metazoa; Chordata; Aves; Anseriformes; Anatidae.